Molecule: long non-coding RNA, 346 nt
Filed under: Gossypium raimondii (Peruvian cotton)
Lineage: Eukaryota; Viridiplantae; Streptophyta; Magnoliopsida; Malvales; Malvaceae
Description: long non-coding RNA (GRAI_LNC000816)
Source: RNAcentral
AGGGUUUUGUGCCCAGAUUUACGCUUAGAGGCCUAGAGGGAACCAGAUCGGAGGGUUUUCUUUUUUCGGCCACCGCAUACGGUAGUACCGGCACGGUGGCUGACGACCGGCCGAUGACCGAACAGGAGGCCGGAUAUCAGGGGAGGGGAGAGUUCUUUUAGAGUUCUUUUUCGUUUUUUUUUUUGAAAACUGUUUUAAAAUGAAUUUUGGAAUGAUAAUUCGGCUUAAAUAGCUUCUUCAAAACGACAGCGUUUUGGACAUGGGUCGACCCGAGUUCGACCCGAUCCGGCCUAGAGUCCGCGCGUUUUUGAGCGGAGGGGCAAAUUGCGCUUUUGGCCCAUCCGCC